This 85-nucleotide transfer RNA is filed under the name Thermoproteota archaeon. Its description in RNAcentral is "tRNA-Ser". It matches the Rfam family "tRNA". From Rfam's summary of the family: Transfer RNA (tRNA) molecules are approximately 80 nucleotides in length. Their secondary structure includes four short double-helical elements and three loops (D, anti-codon, and T loops). Further hydrogen bonds mediate the characteristic L-shaped molecular structure. tRNAs have two regions of fundamental functional importance: the anti-codon, which is responsible for specific mRNA codon recognition, and the 3' end, to which the tRNAs corresponding amino acid is attached (by aminoacyl-tRNA synthetases). tRNAs cope with the degeneracy of the genetic code in two manners: having more than one tRNA (with a specific anti-codon) for a particular amino acid; and 'wobble' base-pairing, i.e. permitting non-standard base-pairing at the 3rd anti-codon position. RNAcentral also lists the same sequence under 1 other name. Lineage: Archaea; Thermoproteati; Thermoproteota. The record is from RNAcentral.
GCCGGGGUGGCUGAAUUGGACAAAGCGCAGGCCUUGAGAGCCUGUGGCGCAUUGCGCCGUGCAGGUUCGAGUCCUGCCCCCGGCG